GACCGCUUCUGUGGCCUAGUGGUUAAAGCGUUUGCCUUGGAUGUGGGAGGUCAUGGGUUCGAACCACAGUAAAGUCA
Non-coding RNA from Potamilus streckersoni, 77 nucleotides. The record is from the annotation of a GenBank genome assembly. Lineage: Eukaryota; Metazoa; Mollusca; Bivalvia; Unionida; Unionidae.